GAUUCUUUUGUUUUGCAGCUUCUGCUAGUUGAAACAACUUGCAGUGAAAGGACCUCUUUAUCCUAUUUCACAUGACAUAAAUUAAGUACAUUGCUUAUAUCUGUUCCUUUGUUCCAUUUUCUGUUGCUCUUCUGUAGUGUUUCGUCGACCCGUCGACUGGAUCCAGAUUCUAUUCGAAGGAUGAAGUACUUCAAUUCAUACAGGUGAAGAAUCCGCUUGACCCCACAAACAAGGAGGAUGAUGCGGCAGCUCAGAAAGUUGGCACUGAUGCAAAGCCCAUAAGAGAAGUGGGAGAGCUUACGGAGAUCACCGAGGGCGAGUUGAAAGGAUUUGUUAAAGAAGUCAAAUACAGAACGAGCAGAGGCAAAUUGAAGAAAGAUACGUUUUAUCAUUGUCGACGAAGUCGAUAUGUAUUAUUUUCCAAAGAGGAUGCUCUGCGCUAUGCCGACUCCGGAAACAUUCAUAAAUGUGUCGUAAAACCAAAAAGGAGUACCAUCGUUGGCGUGCAGAAUGUCGAAGUCAAACCUAG
Ananas comosus (pineapple) is the source of this 529-nucleotide long non-coding RNA. RefSeq lists it as uncharacterized. The transcript has 3 exons. The record is from RefSeq and is a predicted model, not a curated record. Lineage: Eukaryota; Viridiplantae; Streptophyta; Magnoliopsida; Poales; Bromeliaceae.